CGUGGUCACUGGACGAUCGCGACGCCUUUCAGGCAUCGAGGAAAGUCCGGGCUCCACAAGGCAAGGAGACUGGUAAAUCCAGCCGUUCCGUUGGCGGGUGACGGGGCAGGGAAAGUGCCGCAGAAAGCAAACCGCCUCUACCGGAUCGUGCCGCAGAGGUAAGGGUGAAAGGGUGGGGUAAGAGCCCACCGCGGGGGCCGCAAGGUUCCCGGCAUGGUAAACCCCUCCUGGAGCAAGCUCGAAUCGCACAAUGGCGUCGCCUGCGCCGUGCGGAAAGUAGCGCUAGAACUGCGGUGGCAACGCCGUGGUCGAGAGAAAUGAUCGUCGUCAACAGAACCCGGCUUACCGGUGACCCUCCACC
This 361-nucleotide RNase P RNA is filed under the name Planctomycetota bacterium. RNAcentral describes it as "Planctomycetes bacterium RNase P RNA component class A". It matches the Rfam family "Bacterial RNase P class A". Rfam says of the family: Ribonuclease P (RNase P) is a ubiquitous endoribonuclease, found in archaea, bacteria and eukarya as well as chloroplasts and mitochondria. Lineage: Bacteria; Pseudomonadati; Planctomycetota. The record is from RNAcentral.